UGAAUUUGCCCAGCUCCUGCGAUGUACUUAUCAGGCUUUCGAAGGCAGUAGUGGUGAUUUCAGGAAAACAUCUGGCUGCAAUCUCAACUAUGUCGGCUGUAACUUGACUGUUCGCAGCUUCACAGUCAUAAAAGAUAUAAAGAGGUUUUUGCCUUGACUUUUCUACAGAUAAUGGCUCAUACUCGACAUUUUUCGCAGCCAUUAUACAGCUCUUGUUUUGGUUCGCGCACGUGUGCUGUGGAAUGUGUGGACUUCGC
Non-coding RNA from Paramuricea clavata, 257 nucleotides. Lineage: Eukaryota; Metazoa; Cnidaria; Anthozoa; Malacalcyonacea; Plexauridae. The record is from the annotation of a GenBank genome assembly.